This 516-nucleotide ribosomal RNA is filed under the name Penicillium crustosum. RNAcentral's name for it is "eukaryotic LSU rRNA". It matches the Rfam family "Eukaryotic large subunit ribosomal RNA", at positions 58 to 578 of the family's 3401-position model. Lineage: Eukaryota; Fungi; Ascomycota; Eurotiomycetes; Eurotiales; Aspergillaceae. The record is from RNAcentral.
AAAGAAACCAACAGGGAUUGCCCCAGUAACGGCGAGUGAAGCGGCAAGAGCUCAAAUUUGAAAGCUGGCUCCUUCGGGGUCCGCAUUGUAAUUUGCAGAGGAUGCUUCGGGAGCGGUCCCCAUCUAAGUGCCCUGGAACGGGACGUCAUAGAGGGUGAGAAUCCCGUAUGGGAUGGGGUGUCCGCGCCCGUGUGAAGCUCCUUCGACGAGUCGAGUUGUUUGGGAAUGCAGCUCUAAAUGGGUGGUAAAUUUCAUCUAAAGCUAAAUAUUGGCCGGAGACCGAUAGCGCACAAGUAGAGUGAUCGAAAGAUGAAAAGCACUUUGAAAAGAGAGUUAAAAAGCACGUGAAAUUGUUGAAAGGGAAGCGCUUGCGACCAGACUCGCUCGCGGGGUUCAGCCGGCAUUCGUGCCGGUGUAUUUCCCCGCGGGCGGGCCAGCGUCGGUUUGGGCGGUCGGUCAAAGGCCCUCGGAAGGUAACGCCCCUAGGGGCGUCUUAUAGCCGAGGGUGCAAUGCGA